GGGCCUGUAGCUCAGUUGGUUAGAGCAUCUGACUCAUAAUCAGAGGGUCGGGAGUUCGAUUCUCUCCGGGCCCA
RNAcentral lists this transfer RNA (74 nucleotides) under Ignavibacteriota bacterium. RNAcentral describes it as "Ignavibacteriae bacterium (bioreactor metagenome) tRNA-Ile". It matches the Rfam family "tRNA". Rfam says of the family: Transfer RNA (tRNA) molecules are approximately 80 nucleotides in length. Their secondary structure includes four short double-helical elements and three loops (D, anti-codon, and T loops). Lineage: Bacteria; Pseudomonadati; Ignavibacteriota. The record is from RNAcentral.